UACGUAGGGUGCAAGCGUUAAUCGGAAUUACUGGGCGUAAAGCGUGCGCAGGCGGUUUUGUAAGUCUGUCGUGAAAGCCCCGGGGCUCAACCUGGGAAUUGCAUCUGUGACUGCAUCGCUAGAGUACGGUAGAGGGGAUGGAAUUCCGCGUGUAGCAGUGAAAUUCGUAGAUAUUCGCAAGAACACCAGUGGCGAAGGCGGCUCACUGGCCCGA
Molecule: ribosomal RNA, 214 nt
Filed under: uncultured bacterium
Lineage: Bacteria
Description: partial 16S ribosomal RNA
Rfam family: Bacterial small subunit ribosomal RNA
Source: RNAcentral